GGGACUUUGGAAGUGGUUUUAAACAUCAGUUCUUGCACCCUCUGCCUGGGAUCGUUUUCUCACCAACACCUGCUGGCUUUGAAUGAAACUCCCUCCCCCUUUAGGGAACUUAUGCAGCUGAAGAGAAAUGGAUGCUGGGAACUGCUUCCAGGGACCUGGAAAUUGAUGAAGACACACACAAGGUGCAAACACGGCAUCUCCAGAAGGGAAGUGGUUUGCUACGUGGCACGGAGCGGCUGCAGAGCAGAGCCUAGAUCUGACCCCCGAGACACGAGCUGCCGGAAAGGCUCGGACUGGAGUUUCAGGUAGAUGGGGUGAGAGCGCAUGGGGUGGAGACGGUCCUCCCGCUAACUCCUCCUCACUUCCCUGGUUCUGUCCUGGGGGCUCAUCGAAAUCAGGGUCCCUCAGCAGCUUGAAGAGCAUCGUCUGCACCAGUACAGGGGGGGGGUUCAAACAAAUGGGUCCCCAGCGGGAGUUCUCGUCUACUACAGAUGGAGAAAGAGGGUCUCAGAAUCAAACACUAUAAGGGCAAUUGUUUCUUUAUCUCUGAUAAGGCUGCACAUACUGGCUAAAUUGUUUGGGCUGGGAUUUAAUCAACCCAGUCAAAUGACAGUGACUAUCUGCAUGUCUUGCCCUCUUCCCUGCCAUCGACAGGGCACUGAACUGUGUCCUCGAGACAAAAAAAAGACAUUCUGCGUACUUCAAGAAACUUGCGGUCUAGGGGUGGAAGCAGAUCUUAAAAUAGUUUCUUUCAAAUUAUUCUAAUAGUAUAUUUUCAUUGUAGAUAAUUUGCACAGUGGAGAAGUAUGCAUGUAUGUAUGUAUAUAUGUAUGUAUAUAUUUAUUUGUUGCCUUUUUGGGUCACACCUGUGGCAUAUGGAAGUUCCCAGGCUAGGGUUUCCGGCCUAUACCACAACCACACAGCAACACCAGGUCCAAGCAGCAUCUGCUACCUACACGAGUGCUCACUGGCAACGCUGGAUCCUUAACCUGCCUACCGAGCAAGGCAAGAGAUGGAACCCGCAUCCUCAUGGAUGCUAGUCAGGUUCCUAACCUGCUGUGCUACAAUGGGAACUCUGAGAAGUAUUCAAUUUUUAGACACAGGUGAGCCAUGGAUAGAUUUUAUGCUGGGGCCUAAUGCGAUAAGAUUGGCAUUUGGAACAAGAGUCCUGGUGUGAUGUUGAGGCUGGCGUUGAGCUGGAGGCAGGAAGCCUGGAAGCCCAGCAAGGAGGUCGUGGAGUAAUUGCACUCAGCCACGAGGGGUCUGACCCAGGGCAGAGGCGGCUGAGGUGGGUCUGAGAGAUCACUGGGAGAAAGUGUGUUGGGAAACCGAACAGAGAAACUAAAGCCACUUUGCCUUAAGAAAUGGGCCUUGCUAGACGACGCUUUUCACAAGCUGGUCCCCUGGAAAGGGCCUUGAGGGCACAGCUAAGCAAACAUGCAGCCCUCCUGGGCAUCGGCUCUCCCUCAGGUGAAUGGUCUGCCAUAUUUCCGAUUCCAGGAACUGGCUGGAGUAACACUUAUGCAAUGGGAACGUAGGAGGCCUGCCUCCCGGAGCCUGGCUGGUGGAGAACUUGGCAAGUUCUCUGUGGAGUGGAGAGACCUGCUGGUCCACCACAAGUGGACUUCCCCUGGGGUGCUGACUGGGGAAGUCAGAGCCGGCUGUGCAGACGGCUGUGUGGGCCUGGAGCCUCUGGCAAGAGGAGCUGGGUGCCUGCAGGGAGGGGUGGACCCCGCUUCACACCACUUCUAUGGUAGAACAAGAGGAGGACACCGCCCAGGGGGAAGCUCUGCUGUCUGUGUCCCCUGCAGUGGGUAGAGUGAAGGCCUCAGGGCCCAAACAGCUUGAUCUUUCACUUCAUCACUGUGUGACCUGGAAGUCACUUAAUCUCUUGGGUCUUCUGUGUCCUUGUGUAUGAAAUGGGAAUAAGCAUAGCAGUCAUCAAGAAUAAGAAAAGAAAAAUGAGUGAAAACGGCCAUUACAUGCCCAGCACCUUGCAGAAAGUAACUAAGCGACUGUUGUAGGUUGCAGGGUCAUGACUCUAAACGGAGCUCCUACGAAGUUUGGUAGAGGGUGGGUGGGGAGAGGCAGAAGGCCCACUGUUGAAUAAACAUGAAAGGAAUAAACAGCCAUAAAUAAAGGCAUUCUCUCUCUCUCUCUCUCUCUCUCUUUUUUUUGUCUUUUUGCCUUUUCAAGGGCCACUCCUACAGCAUAUGGAGGUUCCCAGGCUAGGGGUGGAAUCGGAGCUAUAGCCACUGGCCUACGCCAGAGCCAUAGCAACACCAGAUCCGAGCUGUGUCUGUGACCUACACUGCAGCUCACAGCAACGCCGAAUCCUUAACACACUGAGCAAGGCCAGAGAUCGAACCCACAACCUCAUGGUUCCUAGUGGGAUUCGUUAACCACUGCGCCACGAUGGGAAUCCCCAAGGCAUUCUCUCUUUAUGCAUCUGAGUAAGUAGGGUUCUGAAUACUGGUUUGUAUCCCAAACGUAUGUAAACCAAAUCAUUCUCAAAGCCUCCACGGGGUUUCUUGUGUACAGGUAUCUGGGUGGGCAUCUUUGUAAAACUGCUGCCACUGCUGACUCUGAGACACUGUUGUGUCUCACCUGGAGCAGUCAGAGGAAAGAGAGAAUUCCUCUGUGCAACUGAGCACCUCUUUGGUCCUCUUUCUUCUUUAUUAAACCAAACUGCUGGUUUGUUUAUUUAUUUAUUAUUUGUAAUAUUUUAUUUUAUUUUUUUGGCCAGACCUGUGGCAUAUUGAAAUUCCCAGGCUAGGGGUUGGAUCGGAGCUGUAGACCCUGGCCUACACCACAGCCAUAGCAACACCAAUUCAAGCCGUGUCUGUGACCUACACUGCAGCUCACAGCAACGCUGAAUCCUUAAUCCAUGGAGCGAGGCCAGGGAUCAAACCUGUGUCCUCAUGGACACUAGUCACGUUCAUUACCACUGAGCCAUGACAGGAACUGCCCCCAUGUGGCUGUCUUUCUGCCAGUAGUUUCCAGGGAAGGUGAGGGAAGACCAAAACCUUAUUUCCCUUGUAAGGUCCAAUAAUUCCACAUGAUGGAAUUAUGUCACGUGACAAUACCCGUGGAGUCAGGCAACCAUCUCUGAGCUCUGGCUCAGAGGCUGGUGCACGUGGCACCCUCAAUAAUUAAAAGCACAUUUUAGAAACAUGCCAAGUGUUUCCCCUGCAGUCUCUCUAAGCCCAGUCACGUCCCAAGCGCGGCUUGGAGGCUGAACUCACUGCUUGCAUCCUCCUCAUGGAAAGUUUCUGGGAUGCGGUGGGAGGGCCCAUUCUGUGUUCUUUUUCAUAAUGCAUUUGGUCCAUGUUGCUUUCAAGUUCAUUGCUCCUGCUUUAAUUUUUGUACUUGCCUUGCCCUUUGAUGCUGCUAAUCUGUUUCAUUUAUCCUGCCACUAUUGGGGCUCCCUCUCAACCCUGAAUUCUAGUUCCCUGUGGGUUAACUUGUGCCCGAGAACACAUCAACCUUGUAUUCUCCCCCAGAGGGAAGUCCCGUGGGGCCCCUGUGAACCCCACAAGCUAGAACUAACACACAGAAUUGCCCACCCCCAAUGGCCACCUGGUCUGCCCCCUGACGCACUCUAGUCACACAAAUGCCAGGGUGUGUAUCUUCCUUGCGGUCUAAAGGCCUGAAUUCAUCCCAAGGGCACACUUACUUUCCAGCGCUGACAGGGCAUCCAGCUCUGUGCUGAGUUAGCAUCAUAAGGAAGGGGGGUGUUUGUCAUAACAGAGAGGAAAUGGACUUCGGAAAUUCACGUCCGAAAUUAAGCGGCACCAAUUAGUCUCGUGACCUUGGGUAAAUCACCUGACUCUGAGCCUCAGUCCUCGUCUGUCCGAUGGAGAUAACUGCUACCUUAUCUGGCAAUGGGUGAAUUGGAGUGUGCAGUGGGAUUAAAUAUUUAAGGUACUUGGCCUUCAGGAGACACUAAAUAAAUGGCCGCUGUGUAUGAACACAGGCAUGCCCACAAGACACAGGGCCAUAGUUGGAAAAGAAAAAAA
RNAcentral lists this long non-coding RNA (4019 nucleotides) under Sus scrofa (pig). RNAcentral's name for it is "lncRNA (ENSSSCG00045004821.1)". Lineage: Eukaryota; Metazoa; Chordata; Mammalia; Artiodactyla; Suidae. The record is from RNAcentral.